Molecule: ribosomal RNA, 328 nt
Filed under: uncultured eukaryote
Lineage: Eukaryota
Description: partial 18S ribosomal RNA
Rfam family: Eukaryotic small subunit ribosomal RNA
Source: RNAcentral
CCCUUAGAUGUCCUGGGCCGCACGCGCGCUACACUGGCACACGCAACGAGUCUAUCACCUUGGUCGGCAGGCCUGGGUAAUCUGUGAACGUGUGCCGUGAUUGGGAUUGAUUGUUGCAAUUUUCAAUCAUGAACGAGGAAUUCCUAGUAAACGCGAGUCAUCAGCUCGCAUUGAUUACGUCCCUGCCCUUUGUGCACACCGCCCGUCGCUACUACCGAUUGAAUGGCUCAGUGAGGCCUUCGGACUGGCUCGGAGAGGUUGGGAACGACCAUUCCGAGCCGGGAAGUCGGUCAAACUCGGUCAUUUAGAGGAAGUAAAAGUCGUAACA